Echinops telfairi (small Madagascar hedgehog) is the source of this 985-nucleotide long non-coding RNA. RefSeq lists it as uncharacterized. The record is from RefSeq and is a predicted model, not a curated record. NCBI's taxonomy places the organism in Eukaryota, Metazoa, Chordata, Mammalia, Afrosoricida, Tenrecidae. The transcript is spliced from 5 exons.
GUUCCACCAUGGCUCUGCGGCUGGAGCCUGUGGGGCCUGGCAGGCUCCAGCCUCCGCCGCUCGUCUCGGGAUGAUUCCUGCCCGCUCCCUUCCCUGAGGUCAGGGCCGAGCGGACGGCGCCGGCGGAGCUCAGUUCAAAGCCAACCACCCAACCAUCAGCCUCCCAGCGCUUACACACGUGGGCCAGAAGAGGACAGAAAAGCCCAUCUCCAAACGCAGGCAGCCAUCAGUUUGAAUGACAGUCUCUCAAAUGCGAACUUGCUUUCCCUUCACAACUUUUAACUUUCCGAUUUCUUUGCCACAGUAGUGUGGGCAUAUCUGCACACGCCUCUCCAGCUGAGGGAGUCAAGAAAGAUGGCCAGCGGUGCGCUGCAUUUUAGUGCUUCCAAACAGACUGCACAGAAGGGGCAGGUGGAAGACACUGUACUGACUCAGUGACUGUUAAGGAUGUGGCUGUGGAUUUUAUCACAGAAGAAUGGGCAUUGCUGGAUGUUUCUCAGAAGCAACUUUGUAGAGAGGUGAUGGUGGAGACCUUCACAAACCUAGCUAUAGUAGGAGUUUUCCACAGUGAAUAGGAAUUACAUGUGCUGACAAAGUGAACAUCUAAUGGGAACUCUUAGGAAUACUUCCUUUGUAACUUCAGAGUGACAGGAUUAAGGACCUGUGCUGUGAAGAGGCAAACGUUUCCAACCGUGGUGCACGCCUAAGGGCAAGUUACCCAAUUAACCUGUCUCCACCUGUAAAACAGAGAGAAACAGGAAGCAGAAAAUGGAAUGCUCAUCACAAUUCAAGUGCUGCCCCGUCAUAAUGUGCUUCAGGCCCUUUCUCUCAAAAGUGGUGACAAGACACAAGAGGAAUCCCAACCUAAUACUCUGAGAUUUAAAAAAUCAGACGGAAGAUAGUGUCCAGGUAGAAUCACCCACCUGGUGCUCCUGCUGUCAGACCAGAUAAUUAAGAGGCAUGGGAAGCAAGCUCAAGGAGAAAG